RNAcentral lists this ribosomal RNA (254 nucleotides) under uncultured bacterium. RNAcentral describes it as "partial 16S ribosomal RNA". It matches the Rfam family "Bacterial small subunit ribosomal RNA", at positions 524 to 776 of the family's 1533-position model. The record is from RNAcentral.
UACGGGGGGGGCAAGCGUUGUUCGGAUUUACUGGGCGUAAAGGGCGCGUAGGCGGUCGUGACAGGGCACUUGGGAAAUCUCCGGGCUUAACUCGGAACGGUCAAGUGAUACUGUCGGACUAGAGUACAGAAGGGGCAACUGGAAUUCUCGGUGUAGCGGUGAAAUGCGUAGAUAUCGAGAGGAACACCUGCGGCGAAGGCGGGUUGCUGGGCUGAUACUGACGCUGAGGCGCGAAAGCCAGGGGAGCGAACGGG